This 298-nucleotide ribosomal RNA is filed under the name uncultured Phaeocystis. Its description in RNAcentral is "partial Bacterial small subunit ribosomal RNA". It matches the Rfam family "Bacterial small subunit ribosomal RNA", at positions 1 to 332 of the family's 1533-position model. The record is from RNAcentral. Lineage: Eukaryota; Haptophyta; Phaeocystales; Phaeocystaceae.
UUGAGAGUUUGAUCCUGGCUCAGAACGAACGCUGGCGGCAGGCCUAACACAUGCAAGUCGAGCGAGAACUUCGGUUCUAGCGGCGGACGGGUUAGUAACGCGUGGGAACGUGCCCUUCACUACGGAAUAGUCCCGGGAAACUGGGUUUAAUACCGUAUACGCCCUUCGGGGGAAAGAAUUUCGGUGAAGGAUCGGCCCGCGUUAGAUUAGAUAGUUGGUGGGGUAACGGCCUACCAAGUCUACGAUCUAUAGCUGGUUUUAGAGGAUGAUCAGCAACACUGGGACUGAGACACGGCCC